AGAGUUUGAUCCUGGCUCAGGAUGAACGCUAGCGGCAGGCUUAACACAUGCAAGUCGAGGGGUAUAUGGAGCUUGCUCCAUAGAGACCGGCAAACGGGUGCGGAACACGUACACAACCUACCCUUAUCUUGGGGAUAGCCUUUCGAAAGGAAGAUUAAUACCCAAUAGUAUAAUAGAGUGGCAUCACUUAAUUAUUAAAGAACUUCGGAUAAGGAUGGGUGUGCGUAAGAUUAGAUAGUUGGUGAGGUAACGGCUCACCAAGUCCACGAUCUUUAGCUGAUGUGAGAGCAUGAUCAGCCACACGGGCACUGAGACACGGGCCCGACUUCCUACGGGAGGCAGCAGUGAGGAAUAUUGGGCAAUGGACGGAAGUCUGACCCAGCCAUGCCGCGUGAAGGAUGAAGGCGUUCUGCGUUGUAAACUUCUUUUAUCAGGGAAGAAACCUACGAUUUCUAUUGUAGUUGACGGUACCUGAGAGAAUAAGCACCGGCUAAAAAC
This 498-nucleotide ribosomal RNA is filed under the name potato endoplant bacterium A11. RNAcentral describes it as "bacterial SSU rRNA". It matches the Rfam family "Bacterial small subunit ribosomal RNA", at positions 8 to 504 of the family's 1533-position model. The record is from RNAcentral. Lineage: Bacteria; Pseudomonadati; Bacteroidota; Flavobacteriia; Flavobacteriales; Flavobacteriaceae.